This 1376-nucleotide long non-coding RNA is filed under the name Dasypus novemcinctus (nine-banded armadillo). Its description in RNAcentral is "lncRNA (ENSDNOG00000052166.1)". The record is from RNAcentral. Lineage: Eukaryota; Metazoa; Chordata; Mammalia; Cingulata; Dasypodidae.
CCCCACCCCGACCUCCCCUCGCCGCUGCCCCCGGCCUCGCCUCAGGGCGUUCCCGCUGCCCGGUCUCACGGCCGCACAAGGCCCCAACGUCCGGAGCCACCGGCCCCGAGCCCCGGCGGCCCAGAGCUGAGACUCACCCAUGGUGCUGCUGUUGACGCUCCUCUCCUCAGCAGGAGCGGAUCUCGCACUGACCGACAUCCCCUCCCCCUCCGCGACAGCUCAGGCGCAGCGUAGCCCGCCGAUUCUCCAAAGCCGCCUACGCCGAUUCCGCGGCGUAGCCGCCCGGCGUCGCUCACCCGCUUACGCACGCGAGAAUAGGCGGACUCCUGCACUGACUCUCGCCUGACUCCCGCUCCCUCCUCUGCCCCCCCACCCCCCACCCCACACCCCCCACCCCCCACCCGCCUCCUCAGACGAGGCUUCCGGGCCGAGCAGAGGCUAGCUUCGAUCUCGCGAGAUUAUUCCCUUGCCUGCCCCGCCGUUUCUCUCCAUUUCGGGUAUGACUUCAUCGGCCUCGGCGCCGUUUUGCUGCUCGGGCCUAACCGCCAUGUUUAAAUUGGCCGGAUUUGGCAUCAGCGGGGUCACAGAGUGGCGGGCCUCAUUGCGUGUUUCUUCGACAUUGCCUUUAAUGUUAACUGCUUUACGUGGGUCGGUGAAAAUCCAGGGGCUACUGUGAGGGAGUGGUCGGUGGGACGUGAGGGUGGGGUUUUGCCCGAAUUAAAAAUGGCCGCCGCCAGUGCCACCCCGCGCAGUUUCACGUCAGAUUUUGGAGUAAGGCGAACAGGCGCCACUGGAAGAGCUAGUCCUGGAAACUGUCCGGCGGGGGCGGUGUCCACGCCUCAUCUUCUAGCUGCCGACCUGGAGGCUUUGUGCGAGAAAGUGAAGAAGCACUUCGAGACAGAUUUCAAUCAGCAGAGACUUCUCCAGUGUUUUCGCCCGGCCAUGACAGUCAAAUGGAAGGCUCACCUGACUCUGCCCUUGGCAAGGACUUUUUCUCCUCUUGCCCUUGCCUCUCCUGAUCAGUUCGAGAUAAAAACAAGCCUGCCUCAGCUUCCCUGCAUACAUUCAUCUGUUGGGAAAGAGGGAAGCGUAAGCCUUCCCAGACCUCUGGCGUUUAAGCAACCAAAGUGAACACUGAAGAGGAAAGAGAGAAAGAAAAGACCACAAAAGUAAAACCCUCUUUUCAAUUGCUGGCCAAUGAUCCUUCUCCCUGUUCUUUCCACUUUGUCUCCAACACGCAUCAAUCUCCAACAAAGCAAUCUUUAAAUGUAAAUGGAAUUGCUGAAGGAAGAAAGAAAUGUUAGGAGAUGAGUUAUUCUAACUACUGUGGCUGUAUAAUUCUGGGUGAGUCCACUGUUCUUCAGGAAAAUCGAAAG